AUGUCUUCCUCCUCCGGCGCCUCUCACCCUAGCCUCAGUGCGCAGGUCAUUGAGAAACUCUCUCGUGCGAAUGACGUGCUAUGGCGCACACAUAUCACGCCGCAGUUGCGUGGCGCCGGUGUCUUCGGCUAUGUCGAUGGCACCUCGCUGGAGCCGGCCAAGCUCCUCGCCGCCAAGUACAAGGACGGCAAGGAGACAUUCGAUCCCAACCCUCUCCAUCCCAUCUGGGUCCGGGAGGACCAACAGGUUCUCGGUUACCUACUGAGCAACCUCUCUAAAGAGGUGCUCGUCACGGUGACCACGGUCAACACGGCGCAGUCACUUUGGACGACGCUGGUAGGCAUGUACUCGUCGCAGUCACUUAGUCGCGUCAACAACAUCCGUUCCUUGCUCAUCAUCGCGCAGAAGGGAAACCAGUCUGCCGCCGCCUACUUCGCCUCCAUGUGCGGCCUUGCGGACGAGCUAGCCGCGGCCGACAAACCGAUCCAGGAUGACGAACUCAUCUUGUACAUCCUUCAUGGGUUGGAUCUGGAGUACCAGCCCCUCGUCUCCACCCUCGACGCCCGUGUCACCCCCGCCUCCCUCGACGAGAUUUUCUCCAUGCUCAGCAACUUCGAACAGCGCAUGGCACAGUUCCACGGCUCGGGCGGCAGCGGCAUCAAAUCCUUCGUGAACAUUGCCACUAGUGGGUGUGGUGGUGGCUCUCGCUAUCGUGGUCCUUCCCGUGGCAAGGGAAGGUCAGGUGGCGCACGGACCAGGGAUGGUGGUGGUAGCGGGCGCUCUGGAAACAGGGGUCGCUGUGGCGGUGGCUCUGGUAGGACCCGCCAAGAUACCCUGCGCUGCCAGAUCUGUGGCAAGCCGAGUCAUACUGCCAAGGAUUAUUGGUACCGAUAUGAGGAAGACGAAGACAAUUCCCAAGAUGAUGAAAAGGUCGUUGCGGUGGCUGAAGGAUCCUACAGCGUCGACACAAACUAG
RNAcentral lists this ribosomal RNA (975 nucleotides) under Triticum aestivum (bread wheat). RNAcentral describes it as "partial small subunit ribosomal RNA". The record is from RNAcentral. Lineage: Eukaryota; Viridiplantae; Streptophyta; Magnoliopsida; Poales; Poaceae.